UGGCCCUGCCAUCACGUUAGUGUGUGUGAUUGACAGCUGCUGAUUGACAGCAGUGGGCGGGCAUAAUCUAUUUAUAUGAAUGGACCCUUGCUUCCUGUCUCGUUUCCGCCACACAUUGUUUUGGCGUGAGCCUGGGCUGCGUUUGUUGCCGAGGGGCCGCAGAUGAACCGUGAGGUGCGGCGUUCACUCAGCACUUGUGAUCGCUUGGGAGCGCACUGAUAAACUCCAAGGAGCUAGGAGCUGUGUGGACACUGGGUGAGUUGUGCUUCCAUUCCUGCGAUUAGAUAUGCUCCCUCUCAUUAUUGCGGCGCCCUAAUGUGAACUGUUUUGAUGCUUGUAAUUAGUUGGCCUGCUCGUGGAAGUAGUUGGUGUGGCGUGGUGAUCCUCGAAAGCGUUGUGCUGGUGACUCGCGUGUCUGAGCCUUCAUCCGCGGCCCCUCCGGCACGAACCAACCAGUGUGUCUGUGCCUACGGGUCUGUCGGCUGCUGUUUCGCCUGGGACAAUUUGGGUUUGAGUCUCCCCUUGCUUUGCACCUGCAGCGCUGUGGCUUGGCCGUGCUUCGCUGGGUACGGGGAGGAAUUGCGCUUGUAGCCACGCUUGCCCCUUCACCUCGCUUUGCCUGCACGGAGCGUGCAUGUCUGUCGCAACUGUCCGAGGGUGCACGGUUUCAGUGGCUCCGCCUGUUUUUAACCCCUUUUGUGCUGUGCGUUAUUUAUUUUCAUUUCAUUUAUUUCUGCAUGCUUAUUUGUUUGCUGUGCUUCUGCAUGCUGCUUACUCUGCUAGGUUUGCUGCUUUGCAUGACUCUUUAACUGCUUGUGCCAGUGUAGCUAGACCCUGUUAUUCAGGGCUUUAUAUGUGUGCAGUGCUUCUUUUGUUUAUUUAUGUUUCUUUUCAGUUUACUUAUUUGUGUGUUUCUGUGCUUUUGAUUAAUUUACUACUUUUGCAUUUCAUGUGUUUGUUUGGGGUUAAUGUGGGAUUGGGGAAAAUUAUGACUGCCAGCCUCUCCAGCAGUUCGGAGUGUGUCAAGGGCGUGUGGGUGCGAUGGGAGAGUGACGGUAACGUGUAUUGUUUUAUAGUGUGGUGGAACAUGGUAUAUAGUGCAUCGACAGCCUGGUGGUAGAAGGAAGUUCCUGCGUGUGCACACGAUGUAAGAUAAGUAGUACUGCAGCUCCAUAUAGGUUAGUGAUCUCAGUUGUGCCCCAGGCUGUUCGUCUCUCUCUCUCUCUCUCU
This is a long non-coding RNA of Engraulis encrasicolus (European anchovy), 1230 nucleotides long. RefSeq lists it as uncharacterized. The transcript has 3 exons. The record is from RefSeq and is a predicted model, not a curated record. NCBI's taxonomy places the organism in Eukaryota, Metazoa, Chordata, Actinopteri, Clupeiformes, Engraulidae.